CCUACGGGGGGCAGCAGUGAGGAAUAUUGGUCAAUGGGCUUACGCCUGAACCAGCCAAGUCGCGUGAGGGAAGACUGUCCUAUGGGUUGUAAACCUCUUUUGUCAGGGAGCAACGCCGGCUACGUGUAGCCGGACUGAGAGUACCUGAAGAAAAAGCAUCGGCUAACUCCGUGCCAGCAGCCGCGGUAAUACGGAGGAUGCGAGCGUUAUCCGGAUUUAUGGGGUUUAAAGGGUGCGUAGGCGGAAUGCCAAGUCAGCGGUAAAAUCGCGGGGCUCAACCUCGCUCAGCCGUUGAAACUGGCGUUCUUGAGUGGGCGAGAAGUAUGCGGAAUGCGUGGUGUAGCGGUGAAAUGCAUAGAUAUCACGCAGAACUCCGAUUGCGAAGGCAGCAUACCGGCGCCCAACUGACGCUGAAGCACGAAAGCGUGGGUAUCGAACAGGAUUAGAUACCCCAGUAGUC
This 460-nucleotide ribosomal RNA is filed under the name uncultured bacterium. Its description in RNAcentral is "partial 16S ribosomal RNA". It matches the Rfam family "Bacterial small subunit ribosomal RNA", at positions 338 to 795 of the family's 1533-position model. The record is from RNAcentral.